Molecule: ribosomal RNA, 450 nt
Filed under: uncultured bacterium
Lineage: Bacteria
Description: partial 16S ribosomal RNA
Rfam family: Bacterial small subunit ribosomal RNA
Source: RNAcentral
GUGGGGAAUUUUGGACAAUGGGCGCAAGCCUGAUCCAGCAAUGCCGCGUGCAGGAAGAAGGCCUUCGGGUUGUAAACUGCUUUUGUACGGAACGAAACGGUCCUGGUUAAUACCUGGGGCUAAUGACGGUACCGUAAGAAUAAGCACCGGCUAACUACGUGCCAGCAGCCGCGGUAAUACGUAGGGUGCAAGUGUUAAUCGGAAUUACUGGGCGUAAAGCGUGCGCAGGCGGUUUUGUAAGACAGGCGUGAAAUCCCCGGGCUCAACCUGGGAAUUGCGCUUGUGACUGCAAGGCUGGAGUGCGGCAGAGGGGGAUGGAAUUCCGCGUGUAGCAGUGAAAUGCGUAGAUAUGCGGAGGAACACCGAUGGCGAAGGCAAUCCCCUGGGCCUGCACUGACGCUCAUGCACGAAAGCGUGGGGAGCAAACAGGAUUAGAAACCCGGGUAGUCC